RNAcentral lists this transfer RNA (76 nucleotides) under Bradyrhizobium sp. NAS80.1. RNAcentral's name for it is "tRNA-Glu". It matches the Rfam family "tRNA". From Rfam's summary of the family: Transfer RNA (tRNA) molecules are approximately 80 nucleotides in length. Their secondary structure includes four short double-helical elements and three loops (D, anti-codon, and T loops). The record is from RNAcentral. Lineage: Bacteria; Pseudomonadati; Pseudomonadota; Alphaproteobacteria; Hyphomicrobiales; Nitrobacteraceae.
GCUGCCAUCGUCUAGCGGCCAGGAUGCCCGGUUCUCAGCCGGGAUGACGCCGGUUCGAAUCCGGCUGGCAGCACCG